GACGAACGCUGGCGGCGUGCCUAAUACAUGCAAGUAGAACGCUGAAGGAGGAGCUUGCUUCUCUGGAUGAGUUGCGAACGGGUGAGUAACGCGUAGGGAACCUGCCUGGUAGCGGGGGAUAACUAUUGGAAACGAUAGCUAAUACCGCAUAAUAUUGACUAUUGCAUGAUAGUCAGUUGAAAGGUGCAACUGCACCACUACCAGAUGGACCUGCGUUGUUUUAGCUAGUUGGUGGGGUAACGGCUCACCAAGGCGACGAUACAUAGCCGACCUGGGAGGGGGUCGGCCCCACUGGGAAUGGGAAACGGCCCAGACUCCUACGGGAAGGAGCAGGAAGGAAUCUUCGGGAAUGGACGGAAAGCUGACCGGGCAACGCCGCCUGAGUGAAUAAGGUUUUCGGAUCCGAAAGCCCUGUUGUUAGGGAAGAACGAGUGGUGGAAGGGAAAGCUCACGCUGUGACGGUAUCUAACCAGAAAGCCACGGCUAACUACGUG
RNAcentral lists this ribosomal RNA (494 nucleotides) under uncultured bacterium. RNAcentral's name for it is "partial 16S ribosomal RNA". It matches the Rfam family "Bacterial small subunit ribosomal RNA", at positions 28 to 507 of the family's 1533-position model. The record is from RNAcentral.